GACGAACGCUGGCGGCGUGCCUAAUACAUGCAAGUAGAACGCUGAGGGAGGAGCUUGCUUCUCUGGAUGAGUUGCGAACGGGUGAGUAACGCGUAGGUAACCUGCCUGGUAGCGGGGGAUAACUAUUGGAAACGAUAGCUAAUACCGCAUAAUAUUGACUAUUGCAUGAUAGUCAGUUGAAAGGUGCAACUGCACCACUACCAGAUGGACCUGCGUUGUAUUAGCUAGUUGGUGGGGUAACGGCUCACCAAGGCGACGAUACAUAGCCGACCUGAGAGGGUGAUCGGCCACACUGGGACUGAGACACGGCCCAGACUCCUACGGGAGGCAGCAGUAGGGAAUCUUCGGCAAUGGACGGAAGUCUGACCGAGCAACGCCGCGUGAGUGAAGAAGGUUUUCGGAUCGUAAAGCUCCGUUGUAAGAGAAGAACGAGUGUGAGAGUGGAAAGCUCACACUGUGACGGUAUCUUACCAGAAAGGGACGGCUAACUACGUG
Molecule: ribosomal RNA, 495 nt
Filed under: uncultured bacterium
Lineage: Bacteria
Description: partial 16S ribosomal RNA
Rfam family: Bacterial small subunit ribosomal RNA
Source: RNAcentral